CUUUGAGAGAUCCCUGAAGAGAACCCACUCCCUUUCGGAUUUCAGGACACAAAAGAAUUCUCGAAGGGGGCAGAUUUGCUCCGUGAAGUCAGUUGUCCAAGUUGGUUGGAAAGUGGGUGACUUCCUGGGAAGUCUUCUUCAUUAUCUUCUCCCAUGGGCUGGAUUUUUUCUCUCACUGCUAUAUCCAAAAGUGAAAAUCCACACUCAAGGUGAAUUCAGCCUCCAAAUGAAGCUGCUAAUGGACAACUAAAGCCACGAUUACAAUAUUGUAUACCUGAAACUCAUGUUGUAUACCAAUUUUGCCUCAAAACAAACAACAAAUGUGGGUCAAUUUUGGUCUCUUUGUAAAUAAGAUUCUGGAUGGUCACUCAUUUUAAUGCUAA
Canis lupus familiaris (dog) is the source of this 383-nucleotide long non-coding RNA. RefSeq lists it as uncharacterized. The transcript has 2 exons. The record is from RefSeq and is a predicted model, not a curated record. Lineage: Eukaryota; Metazoa; Chordata; Mammalia; Carnivora; Canidae.